Erythranthe guttata (spotted monkey flower) is the source of this 810-nucleotide non-coding RNA. The record is from RefSeq and is a predicted model, not a curated record. Lineage: Eukaryota; Viridiplantae; Streptophyta; Magnoliopsida; Lamiales; Phrymaceae.
UUUGCCGACGCCACCUCCGCCCUUCUCCGAGGCACCAGGAGCUCACACCAACGCCUCCUCCGCCCUUCGCCACCGACGCACCUCCGCCCUUCUUCGACGCACCAGGAACCAUUUAUCUGGUUUCAAUUUGUGCGCUGAUGUUGGAAGAUGCCACCUUCGUCGUCGCACCUCCGCCCUCCUCCAACGCACCAGGAGCCCACAUCAACGCCACCUCCGCCCUUCGCCGACGCCACCUCCGUCAUCACACCUCCGCCGACGCCCACACCGAAUUCUUGAAACUUGAAACCCACUAAUCAAUUGUAGUUGGAUUGGAAUUUCUUACCGUUCACCGCUUGCUGUUGCACAUUGUCACGCCAUUCGCUGCUCGCCGUUGUACAUUACCAAUUGUUCGAGCUUUACUGUUCGUUGUAGCAAACCACUCGUUCCCCGUUGUGUCUGCUCUCUACCUUGCUGGUAAGGUUUAAAUUAUUUCUCAAAUAAUUCCAUAGUUACUGAAUGCAUUUGUGCCGAUAAUAAGUUCAUUUAAUUGAAACUAUAUGUAUAUUAUAAUGUGCAUGAGCCUACGACUAGCAAUGCAAUUCCCUUUCUCUUGAUUUGUUUGCUUUCUAAAUUUGGUGAUUUUAUCUCUAUUUGUUUUCUUAUGACAUUUUUUGUUUUGCAUUAUGAAUCUAAAAACUUCAUUAUUCCAAAAUAAAACAAGUAUCGGCGUUUCUUGUCUCUAAAUGAUUUUGAUGGUUUAGAUAGUAAUUUUUAUAGAUAGUUUACGUUGCAAUCUUCUUGAAUUUUCUAUUAUUACGGACUUGCAGUUCU